This 390-nucleotide ribosomal RNA is filed under the name uncultured bacterium. RNAcentral describes it as "bacterial SSU rRNA". It matches the Rfam family "Bacterial small subunit ribosomal RNA", at positions 28 to 419 of the family's 1533-position model. The record is from RNAcentral.
GACGAACGCUGGCGGCGCGCUUAACACAUGCAAGUCGAGCGGUAAGGCCCUUUCGGGGGUACACGAGCGGCGAACGGGUGAGUAACACGUGGGUGACCUGCCCUCAGCUCUGGGAUAAGCCUGGGAAACCGGGUCUAAUACUGGAUAUGACUCCAUGACGCAUGUUGUGGGGUGGAAAGCCUUGUGCGGCUGAGGAUGGGCCCGCGGCCUAUCAGCUUGUUGGUGGGGUGAUGGCCUACCAAGGCGACGACGGGUAGCCGGCCUGAGAGGGCGACCGGCCACACUGGGACUGAGACACGGCCCAGACUCCUACGGGAGGCGAGCAGUGGGGAAUAUUGGACAAUGGGGAAACCCUGAUCCAGCAAUGCCGCGUGUGUGAAGAAGGCCUGG